Otolemur garnettii (small-eared galago) is the source of this 104-nucleotide small nuclear RNA. The record is from Ensembl. Lineage: Eukaryota; Metazoa; Chordata; Mammalia; Primates; Galagidae.
GUGUUUGCUUCGGCAGCACAUAAACUAAAAUGGGAACAAUACAGAGAUUAGCAUGGCCCCUGUGCAAGGAUGACACUCAAAUUUGUGAAGCGUUCCAUAUUAAA